AGCUAGUUUGCUCUGGCCGUAAGCCCUCCGUGGAGAGUAACCCUUCUCACUGUUUAUGUCAUCCAGAUGGAUGCUGCCCCAUGUAUGGGCCACAGAAGCCACGGUGAUGAUCCUGGAGGGGGCUGAUUUCUUUAAGAGGUCAAGUAGAAGAUCUCGGCAGGCCAUGAUGACUCGAGCCCCUGAGGACAUCAUCACACAGAGAAGCUGAUAUUAAUGUGUCAUGGAAGAUUUCACACGAAACAGAGCAGAUAUCCAUCAUGGAUCUGAAAUAACUGUGUUUACAUACUGAAAUGUCCUUGCAUAAUAUUUCAUUUGGUGCUAAACUAGGAUGGAAGGCUGACGAGCUAACACAAUAGCUGUUUUCCUGGUAAUUACUAGUCAGAGCAAUUUGCCUGGCAAGCGUCAGAGUUUCUUUGUUGGAAUUCAACAGGUCCAUGUGGGAAAGUGUACAGUUUUACAUCUCUUUGGCAGAUAGUAUUGUGAUCCUGUCGUUUAUUUAUCAGCAUGCAUUCAAAGCUUCCAAGACCCUGUCGGUCUUAUAAGAUGAAUUAUUUGUUGUUUUGAUUGCAUAACAUUUGACAAGGACAAUGGGUAUGAUUUACCCUUGCAUUUGUUAUUUUCAUCCCAGAUUAUGAUGAUUCUAUGCAGUAUUAAAAAGAACAAACUACAAUGAUUAUGCAUCCACAAUAAAGCUAUCAACUGCAACAAUAGUG
Long non-coding RNA from Carassius gibelio (silver crucian carp), 713 nucleotides. RefSeq lists it as uncharacterized. The record is from RefSeq and is a predicted model, not a curated record. The transcript is spliced from 2 exons. Lineage: Eukaryota; Metazoa; Chordata; Actinopteri; Cypriniformes; Cyprinidae.